CAGUCGCCGCGGUAAUACGUAGGGCGCAAGCGUUAUCCGGAAUUAUUGGGCGUAAAGAGCUCGUAGGCGGUUUGUCGCGUCUGCCGUGAAAGUCCGGGGCUCAACCCCGGAUCUGCGGUGGGUACGGGCAGACUAGAGUGAUGUAGGGGAGACUGGAAUUCCUGGUGUAGCGGUGAGAUGCGCAGAUAUCAGGAGGAACACCGAUGGCGAAGGCAGGUCUCUGGGCAUUAACUGACGCUGAGGAGCGAAAGCAUGGGGAGCGAACAGGAUUAGAUACCCCAGUAGUCCCUGUCUCUUAUAC
RNAcentral lists this ribosomal RNA (301 nucleotides) under uncultured bacterium. RNAcentral describes it as "partial 16S ribosomal RNA". It matches the Rfam family "Bacterial small subunit ribosomal RNA", at positions 509 to 807 of the family's 1533-position model. The record is from RNAcentral.